Molecule: ribosomal RNA, 482 nt
Filed under: uncultured bacterium
Lineage: Bacteria
Description: partial 16S ribosomal RNA
Rfam family: Bacterial small subunit ribosomal RNA
Source: RNAcentral
AUUGAACGCUGGCGGCAUGCUUUACACAUGCAAGUCGAACGGUAACAGGCCGCGAGGUGCCGCUGAGUGGCGGACGGGUGCGUAAUGCAUCGGAACGCGCCCAGUCGUGGUUGUUAAUUACUCGAAAGAGUAGCUAAUAUCCCAUACGACCUCAUGAGGACAACGGGGGACCGCAAGGCCUCGUGGGAUUUGACCGGCCGAUGUGAGAUUAGGUAGUUGGUGGGGUAAAGGCUCACCAAGGCAACGAUCCGUAGCUGGUCUGAGAGGACGACCAGCCACACUGGAACUGAGACACGGUCCAGACUCCUACGGGAGGCAGCAGUGGGGAAUUUUGGACAAUGGGCGCAAGCCUGAUCCAGCAAUGCCGCGUGCAGGAAGAAGGCCUUCGGGUUGUAAACUGCUUUUGUACGGAACGAAGCGGAUCUGGUUAAUACCCGGGGCUAAUGACGGUACCGAAAGAAUAAGCACCGGCUAACUACGUG